Cinara cedri is the source of this 1296-nucleotide non-coding RNA. Lineage: Eukaryota; Metazoa; Arthropoda; Insecta; Hemiptera; Aphididae. The record is from the annotation of a GenBank genome assembly.
GUCUAACAUCCGAGCUGUUCCGGUCGAACGUAAAUUUGCUAUGUGUCGUUAGUUUUUAACACGGAGACAGCUCAAAAUGCGGUUCUGAAUUCAGUGGCGACACGAAUACGGUAUUUGAGGAGCGAUUGCUUCUCGAUUUUUUUUUUUCUUUUUUGAAGAUUUCGAAUACGUGAAUACGCAAUGUGAUUACAACUAAUUUAUGUAGGUAUUGUGUUUUGAACCGCAAAUCUAAUGACAGAAAAAUAACCCCCCCCCUCCCCCCGAAAAUAUUCACUUAUUUCCUUUUCGGAAAACCGGCCUAUACGACGAAUAAAUAUUUUUUUAACUAUUUUUUUGGGUACGUCCUAAUCUUUGGCGUUUUUUUUUUUAUUAGGUGUAUACGAGUAUAUUAUAUUCCUUCGGGAUUUAACUCCGUUCAAUAAGAUAAAAAAAAAAAAAAAAACUGCAGCGAGAUACAGCGCUACGCCCGACGCUAUACGGAAACUCGUUAAUUUCCUAUGAAAAGUUUUCUAUCUAAAUUAUUAUUUUCCGAGAGCAGACUCGACGGCGACGACGGUAGAGUUUUUGAUUCGCGUAAUAUAUAAAACCAUCGUGAUUUCCGUAAAUGUGCGACGGGAUCCGCAGUGAAGUCCGCAAUAAUAAUAAUGACAAUUAUACAUUUUGGCAUUUAUAAUAACGAUUUCCGCGACUUGUCGGUUUUAGGACGGCAUUUAUUAACCGCGAAUUUAUGUGUUUUAUCGCGGACUCGUAAUAAUUAAAUUUCUAUUCUGUCACUCUCGACGACGACUUUUCCUUUGUGAGUGCCGUUCUUAGCGAAACGGUCACGCCCGAAGAUCACGGAAAACCGUCGGAGGAACAAGAAGAAUAAUAUUUUCGAAACGUACUAUUUUAUUUGCAACGGAAAGCGUAUUUACAAACCGAAACGUAAUCGCGACAGUGGAUUUUAAAAGUUUUACGAGAUUUCAGAAAUCUUACAAGACAUAUUAACCUACCGGAUCGGUCCGGACCCGGUACUGAUCCAAGGAAAUUAGUGUCUAUAAUUUGAACAUUAAACCAUUACUCAAGUUGGAAAAAUAUAAGAAGAGGGACUAUAUUACGACUUAAAAUAACGUUCGCGUCAUUUUCAGUUAUUGAACUCGACAUGACUCGUGGGACUUUGCAAUAAUUGGUGUGGUAAAGCCAUGUAAACAUUAUUUUUACACAUGACUCAGUGAUUAAUAAUUUCUGAAAAAAAAAAUGCAUUGCCUAAUAAAUUUUUUUACAUACGAAUUUCAAUAAAACCAAAACGUUUUGACC